GAAUUCAAGCAUAUCAAUAAGCGGAGGAAAAGAAACUAACAAGGAUUCCCCUAGUAAUGGCGAAUGAAGCGGGAACAGCUCAAAUUUGAAAUCUCCGUCGCCUGCGACGGCGAAUUGUAGUUUCGAGAAGCACUUUCUAGGCGGACCCGGGGCCGUCCAAGUUGCUUGGAACAGCACGUCAUAGAGGGUGACAACCCCGUCUGUGGCGGAACCGGCCGCUGACGAUGCGCUUUC
This 234-nucleotide ribosomal RNA is filed under the name Heteranthus verruculatus. RNAcentral's name for it is "partial large subunit ribosomal RNA". It matches the Rfam family "Eukaryotic large subunit ribosomal RNA", at positions 30 to 258 of the family's 3401-position model. The record is from RNAcentral. Lineage: Eukaryota; Metazoa; Cnidaria; Anthozoa; Actiniaria; Phymanthidae.